UACGUAGGGUGCGAGCGUUUAAUCGGAAUUACUGGGCGUAAAGCGUGCGCAGGCGGUUCGCCAAGUCAGGUGUGAAAUCCCCGGGCUCAACCUGGGAACUGCAUCUGUGACUGUAUAGCUAGAGUACGGUAGAGGGGGGAUGGAAUUCCGCGUGUAGCAGUGAAAUGCGUAGAUAUGCGGAGGAACACCGGGGGCGAAGGCGGCUCGCUGGGGCAUGGUCCGACGCUGAGGCGCGAAAGCGUGGGGAGCGAACAGG
Molecule: ribosomal RNA, 256 nt
Filed under: uncultured bacterium
Lineage: Bacteria
Description: partial 16S ribosomal RNA
Rfam family: Bacterial small subunit ribosomal RNA
Source: RNAcentral